CCUAGGCUGCAUAUCCUAACUUGCACAGACUUAAUUUGCAAGAGUACUAGAAAACAACAAUCACAUUUUCCAUAGUCUUUCUUUUUUCUACAGCUUUUCUCAUGGAAAACAUAUUCAAAUACCAUUUUAUCUUAAGAAACAAACAAACAAACAAACAAAAAGAGUUCAACUUGCUUUUCUACAUACCUCUGUUUAUGGUGAGCAGUCAUUUCCUUCGAAUAAGGACUUCUCAGUGCCAUGAGAGGAGAAAUGUCUGGAUGCCUGGAGUCACAGUGAUGCGGAAGAGCUGGAUGGAAUCUCAC
Gallus gallus (chicken) is the source of this 302-nucleotide long non-coding RNA. NCBI's taxonomy places the organism in Eukaryota, Metazoa, Chordata, Aves, Galliformes, Phasianidae. The record is from Ensembl.